AGAGUUUGAUCCUGGCUCAGGACGAACGCUGGCGGCAGGCUUAACACAUGCAAGUCGAGCGCCCCGCAAGGGGAGCGGCAGACGGGUGAGUAACACGUGGGAACGUGCCUUUCGGUUCGGAACAACUGAGGGAAACUUCCGCUAAAACCGGAUACCCCCUUCGGGGGAAAGUUUACUCCGAAAGAUCGGCCCGCCUCUGAUUAGGUAGUUGGUGGGGUAAUGGCCCAACAACCCAAUGAUCAGUAGGUGGUCUGACAGGAUGAUCACCCACACUGGGACUGAAACACCGCCCAGACUCCUCUUGGAGGCAGCAAUGGAGACUCUUGGACAAUGGGCGCAAGCCUGAUCCCCCAUGCCGCGUGGAUGAAGACGGAACUGGGUUGUAAAGUCCUUUCGUCCGGGACGAUAAUGACGGUUCUGAAGAAGAAGCCCGUGCUAAUUUAAUGCCUGCAACCGCAUACCCCCCAGCGGGGCGCGGGCCCGCGCUGAAUCACUGCCGG
Molecule: ribosomal RNA, 500 nt
Filed under: uncultured bacterium
Lineage: Bacteria
Description: bacterial SSU rRNA
Rfam family: Bacterial small subunit ribosomal RNA
Source: RNAcentral